ACACAUGCAAGUCGAACGGUAACAGAAAGUAGCUUGCUACUUUGCUGACGAGUGGCGGACGGGUGAGUAAUGCUUGGGAAUAUGCCUUAUGGUGGGGGACAACAGUUGGAAACGACUGCUAAUACCGCAUAACAUCUCCGGAUCAAAGUGGGGGACCUUCGGGCCUCACGCCAUAAGAGUAGCCCAAGUGGGAUUAGCUAGUUGGUAAGGUAAUGGCUUACCAAGGCGACGAUCCCUAGUUGGUCUUAGAGGAUGACCAGCCACACUGGAACUGAGACACGGUCCAGACUCCUACGGGAGGCAGCAGUGGGGAAUAUUGCACAAUGGGCGCAAGCCUGAUGCAGCCAUGCCGCGUGUGUGAAGAAGGCUUUCGGGUUGUAAAGCACUUUCAGCGAGGAGGAAAGGUUAUGUUUUAAUAGAGCAUAGCUGUGACGUUACUCGCAGAAGAAGCACCGGCUAACUCCGUGCCAGCAGCCGCGGUAAUACGGAGGGUGCGAGCGUUAAUCGGAAUUACUGGGCGUAAAGCGCGCGUAGGCGGUUAAUUAAGUCAGAUGUGAAAUCCCAGGGCUCAACCUUGGAACUGCAUUUGAAACUGGUUAACUAGAGUUUUGUAGAGGGUGGUAGAAUUUCAGGUGUAGCGGUGAAAUGCGUAGAGAUCUGAAGGAAUACCAGUGGCGAAGGCGGCCACCUGGACAAAGACUGACGCUGAGGCGCGAAGGCGUGGGGAGCAAACGGGAUUAGAUACCCCGGUAGUCCACGCAGUAAACGAUGUCUAUUAGAAUUUUGUGGCUAUAUGCCGUGGGAUUCAAAGCUAACGCAUUAAAUAGACCGCCUGGGGAGUACGGCCGCAAGGUUAAAACUCAAAUGAAUUGACGGGGGCCCGCACAAGCGGUGGAGCAUGUGGUUUAAUUUCGAU
This 916-nucleotide ribosomal RNA is filed under the name Psychromonas arctica. RNAcentral describes it as "bacterial SSU rRNA". It matches the Rfam family "Bacterial small subunit ribosomal RNA", at positions 51 to 955 of the family's 1533-position model. The record is from RNAcentral. Lineage: Bacteria; Pseudomonadati; Pseudomonadota; Gammaproteobacteria; Alteromonadales; Psychromonadaceae.